AUCGCUUCUCGGCCUUUUGGCUAAGAUCAAAUGUAGUAUCU
This 41-nucleotide small nuclear RNA is filed under the name Cervus elaphus hippelaphus. It matches the Rfam family "U2 spliceosomal RNA", at positions 1 to 41 of the family's 192-position model. From Rfam's summary of the family: U2 is a small nuclear RNA (snRNA) component of the spliceosome (involved in pre-mRNA splicing). Lineage: Eukaryota; Metazoa; Chordata; Mammalia; Artiodactyla; Cervidae. The record is from RNAcentral.